This 100-nucleotide non-coding RNA is filed under the name uncultured Butyricicoccus sp. RNAcentral describes it as "THF riboswitch". It matches the Rfam family "THF (Tetrahydrofolate) riboswitch aptamer". Rfam says of the family: THF riboswitch presents a pseudoknot that joins P1-P2 and the loop of P3 and two THF binding. Lineage: Bacteria; Bacillati; Bacillota; Clostridia; Eubacteriales; Butyricicoccaceae. The record is from RNAcentral.
CAGAGUAGGGAUCUGUGCGUCAAGUGCCGGUGGAACGGGGAGUUGUCCACCGGACGAAAGAGGUUUUGCCCUCUGCGGUACCGGUCCCGCAUCCCGCUGU